UUAGACAAUAGUGUGAUGUAAGCGGAUUAUAAGCUCCCUAUUAUACUUGCUCUAAGGUCAUGUCAUAUGCAUGAUGAUGGAAGUAGCUAUGUCUUAAUGAUCUUUUAAUACUAUAGGUAAACAGAAGGACAUGAAUCACGGACGAAGAUCUUAAGAUUUGUGGUUUUUAGUCCUCUCUCUAUUUUUUCACUCGGCAUCAACAUGCACUUGACUACAAAUAUUUGACCAUUAGUCCAUUACUUUUUUGAGGUACUUAAACAUUACUUUUUUACCAACUCAAAAAAAAUGGACAUAAAACUAUAAGGAAAUAAAUUUUAAUUAUACAAUNNNNNNNNNNNNNNNNNNNNNNNNNNNNNNNNNNNNNNNNNNNNNNNNNNNNNNNNNNNNNNNNNNNNNNNNNNNNNNNNNNNNNNNNNNNNNNNNNNNNUCAAAGGCACAUCACAAAAUUACAACAAUUUUUGACUUCAUUUGGUAUAUUUCGUGCAUUUACUUAUUUUUUUUGAGCUAGUUGACCCUGAAAUUGAAAAGCACUACAAAUGAACACUGAAAAUGUUGAAAGUUGGCAUGCUAUCAUCAUUUCACCCACAUAGCAUGUGUAAAAAAGUUGAGAGGGCCACGACAAAAACUGGAUGCACUUCGUGUACAAAACGGACAAUCUCUCUCGAUAUCAGGGUUUCGAACGAGAACUCAUCUCUUACAAAGGGAUUUCAUUUUUUUGAACUUAUUNNNNNNNNNNUAAAACGGAGAAUCUCUCUCGAAGUAUCAGGGUUUCCAACGAGAACUCAUCUCUUACAAAGGGAUUUCAUUUUUUUGAACUUAUUUGAACUCCAUACUUUUUGUGUGUUCAAAAUGCACCAUUAAAAGGCACAUCACAAAAUUUCAACAAUUUCUGACUUCAUUUGGUAUUCUUCGUGCAUUUACUUUUUUUUUGGGCUAGUUGACCCUGAAAUUGAAAAGCACUACCAAUGAACUCUAAAAAUGUUGAAAGUUGGCAUGCCAUCAUCAUUUCACCCACAUAGCAUGUGUUAAAAAGUUGAGAGGGCUACGACAAAAACUGGAUGCACUUCGUGUACAAGACGGACAAUCUCUCUCGAAGUAUCACGGUUUCGAACGAGAACUCAUCUCUUACUAAGGGAUUUCAUUUUUUUGAACUUAUUUGAACUCCAUACUUUUUGUGUNNNNNNNNNNNNNNNNNNNNNNNNNNNNNNNNNNNNNNNNNNNNNNNNNNNNNNNNNNNNNNNNNNNNNNNNNNNNNNNNNNNNNNNNNNNNNNNNNNNNGAUACCUCCUUAUGGUAGCUUGUCUUUGAGAAGACGCAGCGGGGCCUGAUGACGGAGAAGCGGCGACCAGACCCAGACGGCGGGGCGACGAGCCAAGGGAAGAGGACAGGCCGGAGUGCACUUGUCUGCGGCGGGGGNNNNNNNNNNNNNNNNNNNNNNNNNNNNNNNNNNNNNNNNNNNNNNNNNNNNNNNNNNNNNNNNNNNNNNNNNNNNNNNNNNNNNNNNNNNNNNNNNNNNNNNNNNNNNNNNNNNNNNNNNNNNNNNNNNNNNNNNNNNAGUCGGUGGGAUCGUGCAGGCGGCCGGAGACGACGGCGAGCAGCUCGGACGGGAGCUCCGCCCAACGACGGCGUCGCUGGGGCGCCGGCGGCAUGUUUGGGUGGAGUACGCGAGAAAGAAAGAAAGAUGGAUCGGCGCGCGGCUGCUAGCUAGGGUUUCUCUUCUCUUCUAAUGGCAGGUGCUGGCCGUUGAUACACGUUUGGAUAUAUCGAUCGAUACCAGGCUGCAGCUCAAUCGGUUUCAAAAAUACUAACGAGCCCGUGUACCUUGAAAACAAAAGAAAAUAAAAUCUAAAGAGCCCGUGAAUAAUGCAUCCAGAUGCAUCAUGCGUGAAAUAGGUAUGCUGAUAUACAACGCUGUAAGCACUAAUCUGAUCAACUCUCUCUCUCACUCUCGCUAUCGAUCAGGAUCACACACACACGGUCACAGGAGCUCGAGAGGUUUUUGGCGAUGCAAACAACUUGCAUCAUUUUCUGUAUUUCACUUCUACUCUUAUUCAGUUACAGUCGACCUAGAGCCACCAACGGCCCGAGCAACGCCAUACUGCUUUGCAUUGCCAUGUCAAUCUCCACACUUUAUCAUCUUUAUUACUUCAUGAAAUAUUUGAAUAUUUUAAUUAAUUUUCCGGUCUCCUUCUUGGAUAAUAUAAUUUUUCUAAUACAAGACUAAUAUUAAAUAUAGAACUGAUUAUAUAAUACUCCUACACGAUAACCAUUUCAAAUACCUGAUGGAUAUGUUUUAAUACAAUGAACAUUUUUAAUACAUGAUCAACAUUUUUACAACAGUACUUUUUUAUUAUACCUGAUGUAUUUUCUUUUAUUAUACACACUAUUUUCAUUACACGAUGAAUAUAAUCCAGUCUGAGAAUGUCAACACUAGAUUCAGAGUAUCGAAUGUCAACGUUUUUUUUCUUUGUGAUGUUCUUGGGAACUUUACUUGCCGCAGUAGAGACUGGAUUCAGAGUGUGAAUGUCAACACUUGUGUCGAAAUUUCAUAACUCCGAAAAUUACUAGGAGUAGUAAAAUCGUUUGAUGUGCCUGCAUGAAUGGGUUGACGAGUUCGAGUGGCGGUUAUACCUGGGCAUCUCUGGCUCGGCCCCAAAAUCCAGAGCCUAGGCCCUAUGGGAUUUUAAGGGAGAGACCCGGCCCACGGCCCCAAAACCCGACGGGCUUUUCAACACAUAGGCCGGGCUUGGGCUUCAAAGUAGGCCCGAUGGCAGGACCAGUGCCUCAAUUUUCUGCCGUGGCCUUUUUAAGGCCCGACCCAAGCCCGGCCCGGUCAGGCCCAUGGCUAGAUAUAGUGACGAUUAAGAAUGAUAAGCAGACCACACAUUGCCAUGAAUCUGUCUACCCCUGUACAUGUCAUGAACACUAGCGGCGAAGAUGCGCGGCGCACGCCGCGCCUGUCGAAAGUCUCAUUUAUAUUUCGAAUAAGUGCUUCAAUUUUAUUUUUAUUGCAUGCAUGUAAUCUUUUUCAUGUUUAGCUGGUUGGGAUUUUUUGGGGGUUUUAUAGGACGGAAAGGAGGUGUAGUUUCGUUUUGGCACGAUUCACUGGUGUAAUAAAGUUAUUUAUAACACGUUUACAUCCGUCGUAGUUGUCCUUUUGUUUGUACAUGUAGAGAUGCUUGACUUGUUUUUUUGUAUAGAGCAACAAAGACCAUUGCCGGUGGUGUCCAUUUCAUGUUCUUAAUAGAAUGGAAGCGUUUUAAGGAUCAUGCGGCCGAAGUUUUGAAUAAAUCGUGAUUUAUUGAUGGCAAAGAGUUAAAUAGUACAGGCAAGGUACACAACAAAUCAUUCUGAAUACAACGCAACAAAUUGAAAUCUUUAGUGUUUCGCCUUUUUUGUCCUUGCAGAAUUUCUUUAACAUGUGAGACCUGGCGAUAUUCAAUAAGAGAAGUGAAUCAGUGUUAUAUUAUUUUUAAAUUUUAUUAUUUCUUAUCUGAGUGCAGGGACUUCUUCAUGCAUGACCUGUGUGUAUUAUAUUUAUAUUUGGUCUGUCAUAUCUUCAUAAUAUUCAUCUGGGAGUUUUAGCAGGCGAACAACGCUAGAAUCAGUAGCAUCGAAGGUGUUCUUUUUUGUAUGUGUGAGUAAUGCUGAUAGAGUGAAAUUUCUCUUAUCGUACAUGGUGAGCGAAGGAUGGUGGGGUUGGCAAUGAUCAUAGUGGCCGUAGAGCUUUAAUAGAUCAUAAUGCAACAGUGGGUAAUACAAAAAAAUAAAAAUAAAGAAAAUAAUCGUUAAUCGUAGAAAAACUCAGGUUUUCCCUUUUGUAUUUUCCUCGGAUUAUUGCUUAUGCGGAUGCAAUGUGUUGGUAUUAUUCUGGUUUACAAUAUAUGUAUAAAGUUUUUUUUAUGGAUGUGGGUAUAUUUCAGUUUAUUGAGUGGGCAUGGAAACACUGGUCAUGCGAAGCACUGUUGCAUAGGAAGUGUCUGUUUUGGAAAUAAUGGUUCGGUUUAUUCGGGUUAUCUGUUCCAAUUUGUAAGUUUUACUGUUCUCUAAAAAUAAGAUAUCACUCAAACUGUUGGAGAAAAAUAAAUCUUGAGGCAACAAUCCAUAAGAAUAAAUAUAGUGAAAAAUAAUCGAGCAAUACCAUUUUAAACAACAAAAAAAGGCUGACACGUAAGAUGCGAUCUUUUCUCGGAUUUCGGCUUCAUGGUUGGAGUGGAAAGACAAUCAAUUUAUUAUUAAAGAGCAAUGCCAUUAGGUAAAAUUCAUUAUUAGAUAAUAUGUAUAUUUUUUUCUCUACGUAUUUAAGUAUUCCAUUAGAUUGGUAUUCAUUUGGUUUAUUUUUUCCUCUACGUAUUUAACUAUUCCAUUAGAUUUGUGUGUUCCACUUUAGGAAUUAUCUAUAUAUAAGUCUAAAAGAUAGCAUGGUAUAAUUGUAUUAAAGGAAACCCGUAGACAAUUUACUAACCAAAAAAAUAAUAAUAUCGGAGUACUUGUACGUAUAAGAGAGUAAUAAAAUAUACAUAAAGAACAUUUUUUAGAAAUAUAAAUACCUUUGACGAUAUACAGUACGUAAAAAAACCAUUUUUAUGAAUAUUGUUCAUAAAUAAUAUAUUUUAUAAGAAUAAUACAUGGUAUGAUUCAUAAAUACUAAUAAUUAUCAUGUUUUCUGUAAGUAAGAAAUCUCCUUUUUCUUUUUAAACACUGUUCACAAGGGUAUUGUUUACAAUAUGAUUACACGUAAAUAGGCAGUGAUGCAGGAAAAAUGAGUUACUGUUUACACGGAUUAAUCACAAUCGAGUUACUGUUUACAUCGGGUUACUGUUCAUCGAUGUUGACAUCGACGUAAAAAUGAACAGUGAAUGGUAAAAAAAAGAGUCAAAAAAACCAGGAAAAGAGGAUCGCUGCGGCUUUAGUAUAUAGUAUAUACUAGCGGGGACAUGGCCUAUAGCCCCGGCCCGUAAGGGGCUUUAGUCCCGGUUCACCAACCGGGACUAAAGGGGCGGGACUAAAGGCCUAACCUUUAGUCCCGGCCCUGUUCUAAGCCGGGACCAAAGGUGCUCCACGUGGGCGCCUCGGAGCGCCCUCAGGGGCAGGCCCUUUAGUCCCGGGUCUUAACACGGACCGGGACUAAAGAGUUUCAGAUUUUGUUUAUUUUUGGGUUUUAGGGUUUUAGGGUUUAGGUGUUCGGAAGAUUAACGUGAUGCCUCGUUUGAUGUUCGGGAAUUAGUUUUCAUAUAAUUCUAAAUAAAAAUAAUUAUGCAUAUAUAUAUAUAUAUAUAUAUAUAUAUAUANNNNNNNNNNNNNNNNNNNNNNNNNNNNNNNNNNNNNNNNNNNNNNNNNNNNNNNNNNNNNNNNNNNNNNNNNNNNNNNNNNNNNNNNNNNNNNNNNNNNNNNNNNNNNNNNNNNNNAAGCGAGCAUAUAUAUACAAUUAUAUGGAGAUCUGAAUUAUCGGGACUCGAGCCUGUCUAUUCGAUUACAUGGACCAACAUCACUAAUGGCCCCUAGCUACACUAAAUUGUCCUGUGUCAUCUAUAGCUUCCGUCCUCAGAAAGGUCGCAAGCUCCUCUGAAAGAACAAUCGCGCGUUACUCUGGUAGGGACUUCUCCCUCAUGGCCGUGUACUAUAUAAGAAGAGGAGAUGAAUAUGAAUAUCAAUCAUGAUAACAAAGAAUGACGGAUAAAAAUAGAGGUGUGAAUGUUCAUUGUUUACGUCGUAUCUGUGAUCCUUGUGCUCAGACGUAAGUGCGAAUGGUCUCGCAAACAUAGUAUCCGCAUAGAUGCGUCCCCCGUGGUUGCUGGUCGCACUUUACGAUAAUAGAUAUAUAUAAUCAAAAUAAUAAUCUAGCAUCAUAAAUGUAUUAAAAAUAAAAGUAUAUCAUACUAUUACUUACCUGAGCCGCUCUAAAGGUCAGCUUCUCAGGCUCGAUACCGGGAGUCACGCACUUGAACCGCUUCCAAACCCUGUCCGACAAGGAAAAUGAUUUGCUAAGUUUUUCAUUAAUUGAUAUAUCAGAAAAUCAUCGAAAGAGACCGAUAGAGCGCAAGAAUGAUUGAAAUUACCCUUGGAGCAUGUCAUGCAGGCUUUGAAACUGUUCCAAGGGUCUCGAUAAUGGGUCGAAGGCAUCAACUCUUCCCUUAUCAAUUUGAAUGUCCAACAGAAUCCAAUGAAAGCUGCACAUGUAUGUAUAUAUAUAUAUAUGUGUGUGUGUGUGUGUGUGUGUGUCAGUAACUUAUCAAUUACACUUAUAAGUGAAUGGACACAACAGAGUAAAGACCCUCACCUGAAGUUGUAUGUAAACAGUAUGUGGUCACAGAAAUUUUGAUCUGUUAGAAACCUUAGAAGGUUUUCCUCCAUCUCCUUGGGUUUAUCAGUUAGCGUCGCUAUAUGUAUUUUAUCUGGGUCAAUAAACCCAAUAUUUAGGAUGUUCCUAUUUUUACAAUCCAGAAUCUUCAUUCUGCAUAAUAGAGUACAAGUUAUAUGUAGACAAUGAAUUUAAAUAACUAAACAAGUUAUAUGUAGACAACGAAUUGAAAAACUUACAGACAAUAGCAACUCAUAAGCGAUUUGUCGAGGGCGUCGGCAUUGUACAUCCGGAAGAGUUCAUCAAAGUCGAUAUGGAUUUCUUCGGGGCGGCCGUAGUACUCCCGUGGGACACUCACCACGAUCAUCGUUCUCCCGUUCUUUGAUUUACUUAAGUACCAUGUAUGCAAGUAACACAUAUUUGUUGGGAGAUCAUCUUUGCUGACCAAAGGCGCUCCCAUGACAAACUGUGGCUUAGGGGCUACCACAGCCUUGGGUAACCUGUCGUCUUGGGAAGCUAGAACGUCUUCAACCGGGAUACCCCAUUCAUCCGCCCACUUCUUUGCUAAUUCCAAAUCUUGCCCCUGCACCAGAGGGGGGACAUUCUCGGGUACCACCCUGAGAGGUGGGAUCGACUGUUUGGCCUGUUGUCCAAGCUGAGGAACGUCUGAUCUUUUUUUUGCUUGUAGUUGAACUUGAUUUGCUCCCACUUGCACUUGCACGUGAUCUGCUCUUUUUCACUUCCUUUUGCAAUGUGCGUGUAUAGUCAUCAGGCUUAUGGUGUAAGUCAUACUGUGAUGGAAGGUCCGUGAAGUAUUUUGCAAAUGCUAUUUGCUUCUCGGUGUAUUCCGGGCGGGGCUCGGGUUCCUUCUUUUUCAUCUGCGCAUCAUGAUGUUCCUUUGCUAUCCUGGCGUUUUCCUCGACGGUACGAUCAUAAGGUCUGAUAGGAAGAUUAGCAUGAGGUACCUUUGGGAGGGGCGACAGUUUGCGCUUUGGGAAGCUCCGUCGCUUAGAAAUCAUCGGCGGAGCGUUCUUGCUGGCACGCUUCCGCUUAGUAUCCGGAGCGGGCGGCGGCAGAGACGGACGACCCAAGUCCGGCGGCGGUGAUCGAGAUGGACUCAUGUUGUGCUGGUCGUCGUCAUGUGGAGGGCUUGGAGGUGAUGGAGGUGUAGGUGACCUGCGACGACUCGGAGGCGGUGUUGUCCUUGGGGCCGAGCCUGGAAGCUUGAUGUAGUUCUUGUCCCAUAGGAUGACUCCACCCAGUACUUCUCCGAGUGUCCUCUCAUCUUCGGGUCCAGCUAUGUCGAGAUCCAUAUCAUGAAACUCCGCCAUGAUUUCAUCCACCCCGACUUUAGCAAAGCCAGCUGGAAUCUCACGGCCAUGCCAGUGUGCAUCAGGGCCAGAAGGUAAAGCUUGUCCGACGGCCACCUUCAUGGAUAUGUUCUUGAAUUUCUGAUGGAGUUCACAUGAUGUUGACUCCUUGAUUCCAUCCACGGGGUAGCCGGGACCGCCCUCUAUCAUUCUUCGUGCAUCGUCGGGCGGGGCCUCAGAUUCAGCCACGCUGCUUUUCCGCUUAGAUGGGGCGCCGGUAAUAUCGAGUGCAGGAUCUUCCUGGCGCGCGACUCCUCUAAGCUCAUAAAUCUGCUUCUGUUGCUCGUUAAUCCUGGCAAGCAACUGGUUGAACUUGUCAUUCUCCUCAUCCUGCUGUCGCUUCUUUGCUCUCGCUCGGCUUCUGUAAGCGUCUUGGUCUCUGGCAAACCCAAGCCACCACGGGUAAGAAGGACCGAAGCCUCGCGUUCGUCCUCCAUCUGCAGUGAACUGUCUUUUUCCCUCCUUAAUUUCUUUCACUAUCUUUUUCCAAUUCUCUCUGGGUAUCCUAAGACCGUCACUGCAGAUGAGGUCCCCUGUUUCUUCGUCGUACGAACCACCAUGCGCAAGGAACCAAUUUCUUGCUCUCAAUUCCCACUCAUCACAGAGUGGUUCAGGUAUGAUGCCUUUAGCUAGCAGAUCUUGCUCUUUCUUAUGCCACUUUGGGAUGGCAGUCUCAUAGCCCCCUGGCCCCAGCUUGUGGUGAUAUUUCUUCUUGUCGGCAUUUAUCUUGUCCUUUUCUGAUAAUGCCUGGGCAUCUUCUGACUCCUUGUACUCUUGAAAUGCCUUCCAGUGAUUCGCCUGCUUGGCUAGAUACCCCUCGAAUACUGGCACUUUCUUUGUCUUCAGAUAGUUUUUCCAUAGCUUCUUCUUCCAGCUACGAAACAGUUCGGCUAUCUUCUUUAGAGUCCACUGCUUGACUUUGGCCCUCAGUUUGUCUGCGGCGUCUUCAUUCUCACAUUCUGGCAGGUUGAAAUGUGACAUGAGAUCAUUCCAAAGAUUAUCUUUGUACCUUUCGGCGACAUAGUCACUAUCGGCUGCCCCUUUGCGCUUGUUCCACUCCUGAACGCUGAUCGGGACGUGAUCCCUAACGAGAACUCCGCAUUGCUUCUUGAAUGUGUCAGCAACAUUCUUAGGAAGCUUGGGUUCGCCCGUAGGCAAUAUCACCUCAAAGGUGUAAUGCGUCCGUGCAUCCAACUUUCUAGUCGGGCCUCGUUUCGUAGCUUUGCUCGAUGUGGAGGCCUAAGAGGGAGAAACAUUCGUCAAAUGAAUGUAUAUGUAUACAAUAUAGAGCUAUCUCCAAUAUUUUUCACAUAUUACAAGUGAUUUCUCCACCGGCUUCUCCAUCAGUGGAGCUAUCACCUUCUCCGUCAUUGGACCUAUCUCCUGCCCCAUCGGCUUCAUCUUCGUGUCGGUCGACCUCCAUUCCAUAUCCGGAGGGGUUUAGAUAUGACGACGGAGAUUCAGUUGGUUCAACGUCGGGGCCAUCUUUGAUUAUAUCUUCGAGAAGUUCUUCCUCUUCGAGGUUCCUGAUAUGUGGAUCCAUAGUUCUGCAAAAAACGGACAUUUGAUUAACUAAUAAACUAACAAACUAUAUAAGAGGGGUUGGAAACUUCGAAGUGUUGUCUUAUAUAGGAGGACCUUUAGUCCCGGGUCUUGGCUAGAACCUAAACUCUAAAAUAUGUCUAACGGAUUCUCUUAACCUUUAAGGAUUUAACAAAAUGCGACAUUCUAGAUGUGUAGAAAAUGAUCCUAUUUUUCCUGAUCUCAUCUACCCUUCUAUAUGUCACAUUGUCUAGUGUCAAAGGACUUUGUUGAACUUUGUACCAAAAAAGAAUUAUUCUAUCAGGAACUUCGUUCCAAAACAACUUUAGUCCCGGGUCGUGGCUCCACCCGGGACUCCUAGAUUUCUGCAUAGUAUUCAAAGUAGGAGUACUUUUCCAAUUUGAGCAUUCAAUAAGCAAAACCAAAUCGUAAAAUAAAGUAGUAUUCAAAUUAGCAUGCAUUCAAUUAUAAGCAAAACUACAUCAUCUCUUUUGUCCGUACAUCGUCGAAUAUUAUCAUUAAUACUCCUUGAAUACUAUCAUACAUAUAGCAUCACUGAUACAGCUAGAACCGUAGCGCCCGACGGGUAUCGUCGCGGGCGGUGGACACCCAAAGAGAAGGAACCAUCACAGGAUCAUAGCUCCAGUGAGAUCCCUGAAGAACCUGUCAGGUAUGCUCGAACCUGCCUUCCAACGCAACCAUGUAGCGACGGACGUGCUCAUCCUCCUCGCUGACACGGUGACGUACCACCUCCGCGGUGUCCGGAAGCCUCGGCACCGUCACUGGCCCACGCGACCGCCACCAAACAAGGAUCGGGUCAACAACGGGCUGGCUCCUCACCAACCUACGCCCCCCCGGAAGGUAGCACCUCCCAAUACCAGCCGGGCGGAGCCCAGUCCCGGACAUGGCCCCUCUGAUCAAGCAGGUGUCCUCCGCCGAGUCGACAACGAGGAUUCGGGAUAGGCAUCGUAAAAUGAACUAAAAAAAUAAACUAGUUCUAUUAAUUUUCUUGCUAAAAAUAAACUAAUUGUAUAUAUAGUAAAAUAAACUAUUAACACUUAAGCAUAUACAAUAGAAAAAUUAAGCAAUAAUCUAAGAAACACUAAUUAAGCAUCUAUAUACGUAGAAAUGUCUUCUUCUUCUUCUUCUUCUUCUUCUUCUUCUUCUUCUUUCUUAUUUUCUUCUCCGCUUCUUCUUCAACUUCUCUUCUUCUACUUCUCUUCUUCUACUUCUCCUCUUCUUCUAUUUUUCCUCUUCUUCUCUUCUCCUCCUCUUCUUAUUCUCCUUUUUCUUCUUUUCUUCUCCUCCUCUUCUUAUUUUCCUUUUUCCUAAUCUUAUUUUCUUAUUUUUGUUCAUCUUUCUUCUUCUUGUAACCCUAACCUAAUUCUAAAUAUUACUAACCCUAAUAAUCUAGCACAAACCUAAUAACAAUAGGAAUUAAAUGACAAAAAAAUCUUUUCUUCUCCUUUUUCUUAUUUUCUUCCCUUUUUCUUCUUUUCUUCUCCUUUUUCUUCUUUUCUUUUCCUUUUUCUUCUUUUCUUCCCUUUUUCUUCUUUUCUUCUCCUUUUUCUUCUUUUCUUCUCCUUUUUCUUCUUUUCUUCUUCUUUUUCUUCUUUUGUUCUCCUUUUCUUCUUUUCUUCUCCUUUUUCUUAUUUUCUUCUACCGGCCGGAGUGUUGGGGAGGAGGGGGCGGGGGGCUUACCGGCCGGAGUGGGAGGGGAGGGCGUCGACGACGGCGAUGAGGACGGCACGCGGCGGCGAGGAGGACGGCGGGCAGCCUGGCGGCGUCGAGUUCGUCGGUGCCGCGCCGGGCACGAGAGUCCGAGGAAGAAGAACGAAAUGGCGAUUUGGGUUGGAAAUUUCCAACUCCUGCUUAUAUAGUAGGAUCUUUGGUCCCGGUUCGGGGCUCGAACCGGGACUAAAGACAAAGACACCCUUUAGUACCGUGUGGAGCCACGAGCCGGGACUAAAGGCCCUUUUUCGGCAGACCAAAAGGCGGGAAGCAGGGGCCUUUAGUCCCGGGUCAGGGCUCGAGCUGGGACUAAAGCCCCUCCGCUGGCUGCACGAUAAGUUUAGUCCCACCUCCCGAGCUAGGGGGACUAACACUAGUUUAUAAGCCUCGUCGCAGCAUCUCCAUCGAGCUCCUCUCUAAAGCACGCUUACGGGCCUAAACUGACUUUAAAUUUAAAAAUUGAAAUUAUAUUUGAAAUUAUGGAGAAAAUUAAACCUGAAUUCAAAGUGAGGUCACUUUGAAUUUAGGUUUAAUUUUCUCUAUAAAUUCUCAUAUAGUUUCAAUUUUUUUCUAUUUUCAAAAUUAACUAUUUUGUUAUUUUCAAUUAAAAACUAUGUUUAUUAAAAUUCUUUUUGCAUAUUUGAGAAUUGGACAAAACUAUGAUAAUGAAAAGUGUGUGAAAUUGAAUAAAUAAUUCAAAACUAUUUUCUAUUUUCAAAAUUAAUUAUUUUGACUAUCCAAACUAUUAACUAUUUUGUUAUUUUCAAUUAAAAACUAUGUUUAUUAAAAUUCUUUUUGCAUAUUUGAGAAUUUGACAAAACUAUGAUAAUGAAAAGUGUUUGAAAUUGAAUAAAUAAUUCAAAACUAUUUUCUAUUUUCCAAAUAAAUUAUUUUGACUAUCCAAACUAUUAAUAUUUUGUUAUUUUUAAUUAAAAACUAUGUUUAUUAAAAUUCUUUUUGCAUAUUUGAGAAUUUNNNNNNNNNNAUUUUUGCAUAUUUGAGAAUUUGACAAAACUAUGAUAAUGAACUCCAUACUUUUUGUGUGUUCAAAAUGCACCAUUCAAAGGCACAUCACAAAAUUACAACAAUUUUUGACUUCAUUUGGUAUUCUUCGUGCAUUUACUUAUUUUUUUUUUGAACUAGUUGACCCUGAAAUUGAAAAGCAUUACUAAUGAACUCUGAAAAUGUUGAAAGUUGGCAUGCUAUCAUCAUUUCACCCACAUAGGAUGUGUUAAAAAGUUGAGAGGGCUACGACAAGAACUGGAUGCACUUCGUGUACAAAACGGACAAUCUCUCUCGAAGUAUCAGGGUUUCGAACGAGAACUCAUCUCUUACAAAUGGAUUUCAUUUUUUUGAACUUAUUUGAACUCCAUACUUUUUGUGUGUUNNNNNNNNNNNNNNNNNNNNNNNNNNNNNNNNNNNNNNNNNNNNNNNNNNNNNNNNNNNNNNNNNNNNNNNNNNNNNNNNNNNNNNNNNNNNNNNNNNNNGAUUUAGUUAGGUUAGUAGUUUUAGUUAGGUUAGUAGAUUUAGUUAGGAGGAGAAGAGGAGAAGAGGAGGAGGAGGAGGACAAGAAGAGGAGAAGAAGAAGAGGAGUAGGAGGAGGAGGAGGAGGAGGAGGAGGAGAAAAAGAAGAAGAAGAGGAGAAGAAAAAAAUAAGAAGGAGAAGAAGAAUAAAAAGAAGAAGAAGAGAAGAAAAAAAUAAGAAGGAGAAGAAGUAAAGAAGAAGAGAAGAAGAGAAUAAGAAAAAAAAAGAAGGAGAAGAAGAGAAAAAAGAAGAAGAAGUUGAUUUUUUAUUGUUUGGUAUUUAGUGGUAGCUAGAUUCUUUUUUAGUUACUUAGUGGUAGAUUAUGUUUUUGUUAUAGUGGUAGAUUCUAUUUUUGUUAUUUUUUUGCUGUUUAGUGCUAUCUAGGUUUAGCGAUAGGUUUAGUUAGCUUGGUUAGUUAGGUUAGUUAGUUAGUUAGCUUACUAGAAAGAAUAGGAAGAAAAAGAAGAGGAGGAGGAGGAGAAGAGGAGGAGGAGGAGAAGAAGAAGAAGAAGAAGAAGAAGAAUAGGAGGAGUAGAAGACAAAAAGAAGAUCACAUGUUUGGUAUUUAGUUUUUUGGAAUUAAUUAGUAGUUUUAGUGGUAGAUUCUGUUAGUUAAUUAAUAGAUUUAGUGGUAGAUUCUGUUAGUUUAUUCGCCCAUCAUUAUUGCUUAGGUUCAAGACUACUUCAAAGAAGAUCACAUGUUCUUUUGUUGAAAUCAAGUCUGUCAAAAUCAUGUAUCGUCUAUAUUUAUUGGUAGCGGAGCAAAACAGGACAACUUAAAUAAUAUUGCCAUCCUCAAAUGUAGAAAAUAUCGAAAAGUUUUAUAUAAACUGAAAAGUAGUAUAGGUAACCUGGAAAGUCCUCUGGACCAAAAGGGCAACUUCUGGACCUGCGAACUUUGCGUGGUAGGUGCAUGUCCAUGCAGCAGGGUAAUUUCCCCAACAAUGACAUAAUUAGUCCAUUUAGCUCCAAAAUACCAUAAUAAGCUCAAAAUGGCAUAAGAACCUUGGUUAGCUCAUUAAUAUUAUAUACUUAGCUUGUUUUCCUCUAAAAUGGGAUAAUUAGCCCAUUUAGCUCAAAAAAGACAUAAUUAGGUAAUUUACCUCCAACAAGAGGAGAACAGGAGAAGAAAUAGGCAAAAUGAAAAGAAAGAAGAAGAAGAAGAAGAAGAAGAAGAAGAAGAAGAGAAGAAGGAGAAGGAGGAGGAGGAGGAGAAGGCCAAGGACCUUCUAUCCUUCUCCUCCUCCUCCUUCUCCUCCUCCUCCUCCUUCUUCUUGAUUUCUUCUUCUUCUCCUCCUCCUCCUCUUUCUUCUCUUCUUUCAUAUUAUCCUUGCUUUAAUUAACCCAACAAUGACAUAAUUAGCCCAUUUAGCUCCAAAAUACCAUAAUAAGCUCAAAAUGGCACAAGAACCUUGGUUAGCUCAUGAAUAUUAUAUACUUACCUUGUUUUCCUCUAAAAUGACAUAAUUGGAAUAUUUGUGUUGAUCGGGUGGAUUUACAUGUGAUAGUUGUCUCGUCGCUGUGAGGUCUGUUGUGCGAAGACCUGCCCGUGCGUUGUACGAGCUCCGCCCCUGUAUUCGUGGUCAGUACAAAUUUCAUCUCCUCCCCGCCCCUUCAUUUACUGUGGCUCGGUUUCCGGAUGAAACUUUCUAGAUUUAGGUAAUUCAAUUAAUUUAUCAGUAUGCGUGACCAGUAUGCGUCUCCCGUUCGAAAGGGCGACAUCUAUAAAUAUGCAUGUCUUUGCAUAUUUAUAACCUCCAACCUUUCGAAUUGUCCAACAUUAUCCAUUGACAGCCCGAGUAUGUGUAGAUUGGGUUCGUUUUCCCGUAUGCUGUGCUCUGGAUCCGAUGCGGAAUUUCGUCAGUGCCUCCCUGUUGUUCUCCGGAUGCACAUCCUCUCUGUUUAUUGCGGAGACGUGUAUCAGGAGAACAGCGAGGAGGUGCUGCCGAAAUUUUAUGUUGGAUCCGGAGCAGAGCAUGGGAAAACGAACCCAAUCUACACAUACUCGGGUGGGAUUAGGACCUAUCUUUACCUAUUAGCGUGUAGGUUGCCUGGACGUAAUAAAAAUGGCGAACCUGAUUAACCGAUGAAUAUAAAUGCUAAAUUAUAUAUAAAUAUAUUUCUUCUGUCUUUAGUAGCUACGCAAGAUGAGUGAUCGUGCGUGGAUGUAUACCAGUCACCCUAGUCAGAAAGAGAUGACGAAAGAAUGAUUUUUAAAAACAAAGGAAUUUGUGAAAGCCGCAUUCGCAAAUGGCCAGGAAAGAAAGUAUUGCCCCUGUCUUGGAUGCGACAACUAUAAAAAGACGACAGAGGCUGUAAUGAUUAAACACCUGCAGAGGAGGGGUUUUAAGCCUAAUUAUACGGUGUGGACAUUUCAUGGUGAGUCUAUACAACGCACAAGAGCUGAGGUGGUCCGUCGUCGCACGGACGAGCAUGGUACUGGGAUCGAAGACAUGGUGCAAGACUUUGAUGAUGCUCGGGAUUUGGAAGAUGAGAUGGAGGAAUCUGCAAAGGCCUUUUAUGAAAUGUUGGAGUCUUCAAAACAUCCUNNNNNNNNNNNNNNNNNNNNNNNNNNNNNNNNNNNNNNNNNNNNNNNNNNNNNNNNNNNNNNNNNNNNNNNNNNNNNNNNNNNNNNNNNNNNNNNNNNNNCAAUCACACGAGGUCGGGACAGCGGCCGAGGCCUUCUGAAGAUUGAGCUAGCGGGGCACUGAAGGAGAAGGGUGGAAGAGACAUAUGGUAAUGUGCAUGGCGUGGCCCGUCCAAAACUGAGAAUGAGAUAACCCACUCCAAAAAAUGGUUUGCGCUAACAGACUUAGCAAAAGAAGUGAGCCGAUAAAAUGGUUAAAGGCAAUUGCAAUGAACAUUGCAGGGAACCCUAUGAUGCUUCUGGGGUCCAUCUGGUGGCUUCGGAGCCCCCCCCCCCCAAAACCCAACCCAACCUAUAAAAAGCUUCUCUGACGCACAUCCUUCACAAGCCAUUGCUGGAGGAGGCCUAAGGAAAAAGCCCCAGGGUAGACGAGAACAGGGAGCCCCCCUAGAUCCAUGCAUGUUGGGCGUGUUGCCCAAUAAGCUAGCUCUGGUUUUCACGACAACUCUUUUUUCAGUUUCAAUUUUUUUGAAAAGGAGGAACAAAGCCCCCGGCUUCUGCAUCAAUCGAUGCGUGCAUCCGUAUUAUUAAUAAAAUCCAAGAGUAGAGUCACAGGUUUGAAAAGAGCUCACAAUCUGAGCAUAAACACAAAUCUGGAAGUAAAUAAAGACUGUCACAGCCGACGAAACCAGCAAUAGGCUACGAUGACUAUACACCUAGCCUAUUAAUAGCUCGCCAUCCAAAUCGGUCGAAGAUAACCCGUGCGACCGUCUGCCACCGGUUGCAUCCAAUACUUCUUUCGUUAGGUUAGUUAGUUGUUUCCCGCAAGACACGUUCAGUGGGAUCCAUGGAAAAUUUAUAGGAGUUGUGGACUGCGUGCUCGAUCGUGAGAGGAGCACCGGGAUUGCGGCAUGAAGUGUCUCUGUUAAGCAAUAAAAGGGGGAAAGUAAAUAGAAAACAACAAGUCUUACGCUUCGUAAAAUUCCUCUCUCCUGAAAGCUGAUUCAUAGUGUUGAGAAGCGACAAGUGGCAUCACAACCAUGUGAAGGACACCUGCAGCCCCGGGUGCACGUGUCUCGCAACGUGUGUUCGACGAGAAACCGAGCUAGGACUGGAGGCACGAGACAGCGGGCACGGGCGGUACUUUUACCGUUGAUUUCUCGACAUAGGGUGGCUCGAUGGAAGAUGGUGCCAUGGCAGCAAAGUCAGUACCAACGGCGCCAUGCAAAACCGUUGCCCUGGAACCCAUCUUUGUUGCGAGGGCAGCUGAUUCACCUGCGGGUGGUGCGCCACCUACUUCUGCAGUAUGGCUGGACGUACAAUUCGCCACCCCGCCGCCCUACGACCGGGCCAUGUUCGACGACGNNNNNNNNNNCACCAACGGCGCAAUGCGAAACCAUUGACCUGGAACCCAUCUUCGUUGCGAGGGCAGCUGAUUUGCCCGCGGGUGGUGCGCCACCUACUUCUGCAGUAUGGUUGGACGUACAAUUCGCCACCCCGCCGCCCUACGUCCGGACCAUGUUCGACGACGCUGACGACCCCGACGCCGUUCACCGCUACCGCCGCGUGGAUGAUGUGCUCGAGCACGACGCGGCUAACUCCAGCAGAACAGAGCAGCUGCUCCUGCUGCCUGAAAGAAAACCGGCGACCUUUGUAGAGGCCGGGGCCCAUGCGGCAUGGCGAGCGAUGAUGGAGGAAAUGGCAUGCACCAAGUNNNNNNNNNNNNNNNNNNNNNNNNNNNNNNNNNNNNNNNNNNNNNNNNNNNNNNNNNNNNNNNNNNNNNNNNNNNNNNNNNNNNNNNNNNNNNNNNNNNNUCAACGACAACCGGCCUCCUCGUUUUCCCGAAUGUGCGACACACACGUGAAAGCUAGGCCCUUGCUCUGCCGGCAUGUGUUGGAUGUGUUCUUAGCUCUCUAGUUCGCCCCUCCACCCAUGACCGAGGCGCCACCCAACACAUCGACUCUGACACUCAACGCCCACUUGCAUCGUGGACCCUGGGAGCGCUUGUAGAGGUAGAGCCCUCUCUUUGAAUUAGACAAUAGUGUGAUGUAAGCGGAUAAUAAGCUCCCUAUUAUACUUGCUCUAAGGUUAUGUCAUAUGCAUGAUGAUGGAAGUGGCUAUGUCUUAAUAAUCUUUUAAUAUCAUUGGUAAACAGAAGGACAUGAAUCACUGACGAAGAUCUUAAGAUUUGUGGUUUUUAGUCCUCUCUCUAUUUUUUCACUCCGCAUCGACAUGCACUUGACUACAAAUAUAUGACCAUUAGUCCAUUACUUUUUUUAGGUACUUAAACAUUACUUUUUGUACCAACUCAAAAAAAUGGACAUAAAACUAUAAGGAAAUAAAUAUUAAUUAUACAAUAAUGCAAGAUGAUUUCGAUGUGAAAUAUGAAAGCGGAUUAUAAGCUGCCUAUUAUACUUACUCUAAGGCU
This 17483-nucleotide long non-coding RNA is filed under the name Hordeum vulgare. RNAcentral describes it as "long non-coding RNA (HVUL_LNC017137)". Lineage: Eukaryota; Viridiplantae; Streptophyta; Magnoliopsida; Poales; Poaceae. The record is from RNAcentral.